Molecule: long non-coding RNA, 315 nt
Filed under: Panax ginseng (ginseng)
Lineage: Eukaryota; Viridiplantae; Streptophyta; Magnoliopsida; Apiales; Araliaceae
Description: long non-coding RNA (PGIN_LNC015596)
Source: RNAcentral
AACAUUAUUGGUGGACUUUUAACAUGGAGAAGAUAAUAGACCUGAUGGUCUAUUUGACUCUUCUAAUGGAUUGCUCGCUCCGCUGCAACUAUGGUUGAAAAAUUUUAUCAUCUACCAUAUGUUCUAAAUCUCUGAUUUAUUAUUGAUGAAGGUUAUUGAUAAUUUAAUUAUCUUUAGUCAUGAUAUUCUUUACUGGGUUAUUUGUGCUCACCCUUUGCUUCACAAUUCCUUUCAGGUAAUAAGAGUGUAGCUGGGUCGAGCGAGGAUAAUAGGGAAAUAGUGUGAUGGUCCGAGACUGUCGAAGUUUCUAAAUAC